Molecule: long non-coding RNA, 611 nt
Filed under: Cyanistes caeruleus (blue tit)
Lineage: Eukaryota; Metazoa; Chordata; Aves; Passeriformes; Paridae
Description: lncRNA (ENSCCEG00000017133.1)
Source: RNAcentral
CCUACCUGACUUGUGCUUUGUCACACAACAGGUUUCUUUUGCUCUGGGCAUUAGAGAAAUAAGAUGGAAAUGACAGAGAUCUUUGAUAGAAAUGUAAAGAUGGGAAUACCCACAAAAUCAGCAGAGUAGGUCAAAAUUCAAAACAGAGAACUGCACUCAAGAGUUCCGGAUCUGUUGUUGCUCUAGUCAAAGGCCAGGGAGAGCUCCUGCUCAGCACACAGAAGUGGGAAUCAAGCAGCUCCUGCACCUAAGCAAGCCCAUUCCUCUCAGGAUCAGCAGCUCUGGCUGUCACAGCUCCUCAGCAGGACAUGCAUGUGAGUGCAUUAAGGUAACCCUGAGGGUUUUCCAUGUAGACAGCACAGGGGCAGGGGACAGUUUGAGUACCAAAGUCCUGUCCAGGUUUGUACAAUCCAUGCCAACAAGAUCAUGUUAGCAUUUCACUGAUAUCCCUAUCCAGGAUAGAGAUUAUGAGACCAACAUGUGUGUAGGUAUGGGGCAUUCCAUCACACCUCCUGCCUGCAAACAUCACCCUGGCACCGUGCCAGUGCCUCCCUGGAAUCUCCCUGGCAUCACCCCUGCACCAGCCUGCCAUUCCAGUCACUGCACAGGAC